Molecule: unclassified non-coding RNA, 200 nt
Filed under: soil metagenome
Description: partial contains internal transcribed spacer 2 and large subunit ribosomal RNA
Source: RNAcentral
GUCAUUAUCAACCAUCAAGCCUGGCUUGUCGUUGGACCUUUUGGUCGUCGAGACCGGUCCGAAAGAAAAUGGACGGGCGUCUGGUGCCCCCGAUGCAAUGAGCUCUUUUAACAGCACGCAUCGGUGCGGUCGGCAGCCCCGCCCCAAACCCCAAUUUUCAGGUUGACCUCGGAUCAGGUAGGAAUACCCGCUGAACUUAA